This 948-nucleotide ribosomal RNA is filed under the name Chthamalus moro. RNAcentral describes it as "SSU rRNA". It matches the Rfam family "Eukaryotic small subunit ribosomal RNA", at positions 459 to 1364 of the family's 1831-position model. The record is from RNAcentral. Lineage: Eukaryota; Metazoa; Arthropoda; Thecostraca; Balanomorpha; Chthamalidae.
GGGAGGUAGUGACAAUAAAUACCUUACAGAGGUCUCGUUAACCGAGAUCUCUCAAACGGAAUGAGUACAACGUGAAUCCUUUAACGAGGAUCGACUGGAGGGCAAGCCUGGUGCCAGCAGCCGCGGUAAUUCCAGCUCCAGUAGCGUAUAUUAAAGCUGUUGCGGUUAAAAAGCUCGUAGUUGGAUAUCAGUGCGUGUCCGGUCCGGUAUGCCCGGCGGCGGCGCUCGCGCGUCACUGCUGGGCUCCCAAAUAUCGGCUGGCCGCAUUCAAUCGUGCCGGAUCCGUCGACGGGCCGUUCUUCGGAGGGGCCUGUUGGCGACCGGCGACGUUACCUUGAACAAAUUAGAGUGCUCAAAGCAGGCUCUGAAUGCCUGUAUACAUAUUCAUGGAAUUGGAGAAUACGUCCCUGGCUCGAUUUGGUUGGUUUUGAGAGUCGAAGGGAAAUGAUUAAUAGGGACUGACGGAGGCAUUCGUAUUGCGACGCGAGGGGUGAAAUCCUGUGACCGUCGCACGACGAACUACUGCGAAAGCAUUUGCCGAGAAUGUUUUCAUUAGUCAAGAACGAAAGUUAGAGGUUCGAAGGCGAUCAGAUACCGCCCUAGUUCUAACCGUAAACGAUGUCGACCAGCAAUCCGCAACGGUCACUACACGGACUGUGCGGGCAGCUUCCCCGGGGAAACCAGAGUGUAUGGACUCCGGGGGAAGUAUGGUUGCAAAGCUGAAACUUAAAGGAAUUGACGGAAGGGCACCACCAGGAGUGGAGCUUGCGGCUUAAUUUGACUCAACACGGGACAACUCACCAGGCCCGGACACCGUAAGGAUUGACAGACUGAUAGCUCUCUCUUGAUUCAGUGGGUGGUGGUGCAUGGCCGUUCUUAGUUGGUGGAGUGAUUUGUCUGGUUUAUUCCGAUAACGAACGAGACUCUGGCCUAUUAAACUUGACGCCG